UUAAACUGAAGAGUUUGAUCAUGGCUCAGAUUGAACGCUGGCGGCAGGCCUAACACAUGCAAGUCGAGCGGUAACAGGGGUAGCUUGCUACCCGCUGACGAGCGGCGGACGGGUGAGUAAUGCAUAGGAAUCUGCCCGAUAGUGGGGGAUAACCUGGGGAAACCCAGGCUAAUACCGCAUACGUCCUACGGGAGAAAGGGGGCUUCGGCUCCCG
RNAcentral lists this ribosomal RNA (214 nucleotides) under Vreelandella titanicae. RNAcentral's name for it is "Halomonas titanicae 16S rRNA. Bacterial SSU". It matches the Rfam family "Bacterial small subunit ribosomal RNA", at positions 1 to 217 of the family's 1533-position model. The record is from RNAcentral. Lineage: Bacteria; Pseudomonadati; Pseudomonadota; Gammaproteobacteria; Oceanospirillales; Halomonadaceae.